UACGAAGGGGGCUAGCGUUGCUCGGAAUUACUGGGCGUAAAGGGAGCGUAGGUGGACAGUUUAGUCAGAGGUGAAAGCCCAGGGCUCAACCUUGGAAUUGCCUUUGAUACUGGCUGUCUUGAGUACGGAAGAGGUAUGUGGAACUCCGAGUGUAGAGGUGAAAUUCGUAGAUAUUCGCAAGAACACCAGUGGCGAAGGCGGCUCACUGGUCCGGUACUGACGCUGAGGUGCGAAAGCGUGGGGAGCAAACAGG
RNAcentral lists this ribosomal RNA (253 nucleotides) under uncultured bacterium. RNAcentral describes it as "partial 16S ribosomal RNA". It matches the Rfam family "Bacterial small subunit ribosomal RNA", at positions 524 to 776 of the family's 1533-position model. The record is from RNAcentral.